AAACACACCAAGUAGGCUGAGGAUAGCUGAGAGUGCUGCAGGUCACAGAGAAGCUUGGGAUUGAAGGAAUUUUUGUGGUAACCAGGAAUCACAAAGAAGGAGUCGGGCUGCUCAGGCACAUGGAAAACGCUGCUGUCACGAGAGAAGGCAGGCUGGGAUGACAGAAAGGAGCUGGUGACGAGCAAGGACAACAAGCAAGCAGCUGCUGAGAUGCAUUCUCACCAGAGAAACCCCAGUUUCACUCUCCAAAGGCUCAGGAGCAAACAGCAAAGGGAUUUACUGUCCAAAACCAGCGCCCCGAGUGAAAACUGAAGAGCUGUGAGGCCGCAGUCAGUACCAGGAGCAGAAAUUUAAUCUGAGCCACAAUAGUGAUGCCGGUGAGUUUAUUCUGCAAUCACAUUUCAGAGGACUUUUCGUGGCAAACUUGCAUUAAGAGCACUCGAUAACCCCCAGCUGUACUCUCUGUGUAAACCAAACCCUUCAUCGCAGCCUGGUCUCUUUAGACUGCAGAGAUCACUAGAACAGUCAAUUGCAUAUGUACUAAUUGCAGCAAAUUAAA
This is a long non-coding RNA of Parus major (Great Tit), 559 nucleotides long. RefSeq lists it as uncharacterized. The record is from RefSeq and is a predicted model, not a curated record. The transcript has 3 exons. Lineage: Eukaryota; Metazoa; Chordata; Aves; Passeriformes; Paridae.